CAAUAGCGUAUAUUAAAGUUGUUGCAGUUAAAAAGCUCGUAGUUGGAUAUCUGGUGGGAGCAAUGGGUCUCGCGCUUAGCGCGGGUACUUCAAUUGACUCCGGCCAUCCUUGGGGAGAGCCCGUCUGGCAUUAGGUUGUCGGGCGGGGAUCCCCACUCGUUUACUGUGAAAAAAUUAAGAGUGUUCAAAGCAGGCUUAUGCCGCUGAAUAUAUUAGCAUGGAAUAAUAAGAUAGGACUUUGGUACUAUUUUGUUGGUUUGUGUACCUAAGUAAUGAUUAAUAGGAACAGUCGGGGGUAGUUCAUAUUCCGUUGUCAGAGGUGAAAUUCUUGGAUUUACGGAAGAUGAACUACUGCGAAAGCAUUUACCAAGGAUGUUUUCUAUU
This 384-nucleotide ribosomal RNA is filed under the name uncultured eukaryote. Its description in RNAcentral is "SSU rRNA". It matches the Rfam family "Eukaryotic small subunit ribosomal RNA", at positions 592 to 975 of the family's 1831-position model. The record is from RNAcentral.